AGUCCUAUAACGAGCGCAACCCUUAUGCUUAGUUGCCAGCACGUAAUGGUGGGAACUUUAAGCAAACUGCCUGCGAAAGCAGUGAGGAAGGAAAGGAUGAAGUCAAGUCAUCAUGGCCCUUAUGUCUAGGGCUACACACGUGCUACAAUGGCGUAUACAAUGAGUCGCUACCUAGCAAUAGGAUGCCAAUCUCUAAAGUACGUCUCAGUUCGGAUUGAGGUCUGCAACUCGACCUUAUGAAGUUGGAAUCGCUAGUAAUCGCGUAUCAGCAAUGUCGCGGUGAAUACGUUCUCGGACCUU
This 300-nucleotide ribosomal RNA is filed under the name uncultured bacterium. RNAcentral describes it as "bacterial SSU rRNA". It matches the Rfam family "Bacterial small subunit ribosomal RNA", at positions 1083 to 1382 of the family's 1533-position model. The record is from RNAcentral.